This 253-nucleotide ribosomal RNA is filed under the name uncultured bacterium. RNAcentral's name for it is "partial 16S ribosomal RNA". It matches the Rfam family "Bacterial small subunit ribosomal RNA", at positions 524 to 776 of the family's 1533-position model. The record is from RNAcentral.
UACGUAGGGAGCAAGCGUUGUUCGGAAUCAUUGGGCGUAAAGCGCGUGUAGGCGGCUUGGUAAGUCUGCUCUGAAAGCCCGGGGCUCAACCCCGGGAGGCGGGUGGAUACUGCCGAGCUCGAGUCCGGAAGAGGCGAGUGGAAUUCCUGGUGUAGCGGUGAAAUGCGUAGAUAUCUGGAGGAACACCGGUGGCGAAGGCGGCAUUCUGGACCGAUAUUGACGCUGAGGAGCGAAAGCCAGGGGAGCAAACGGG